UUCCAAUUAGGUGAAUCAUAAUAACUUCGCAAAUCUCGGUUUUGCCGAGAUAAAUCAUCCAAGUUUCUGCCCUAUCAUGCUUUCGAUGGUAGUGUAUUGGACUACCAUGGCUCUCACGGGUAACAGGGAAUUAGGGUUCGAUUCUGGAGAAGGAGCCUGAGAAACGGCUACUACAUCUACGGAAGGCAGCAGGCGCGUAAAUUACCCAAUCCUGACUCAGGGAGGUGGUGACAAGAUAUAACAACGCAAUU
Molecule: ribosomal RNA, 251 nt
Filed under: uncultured rumen Dasytricha
Lineage: Eukaryota; Ciliophora; Litostomatea; Vestibuliferida; Isotrichidae
Description: partial 18S ribosomal RNA
Rfam family: Eukaryotic small subunit ribosomal RNA
Source: RNAcentral